UCGGGAAUUUUGGGCAAUGGGCGAAAGCCUGACCCAGCAACGCCGCGUGAAGGAUGAAGUAUUUCGGUAUGUAAACUUCGAAAGAAUAGGAAAAAUAAAUGACGGUACUAUUUAUAAGGUCCGGCUAACUACGUGCCAGCAGCCGCGGUAAUACGUAGGGACCAAGCGUUGUUCGGAUUUACUGGGCGUAAAGGGCGCGUAGGCGGCAAUUCAAGUCAUCUGUGAAAUCUCCGGGCUUAACUCGGAACGGUCAGAUGAUACUGCUUUGCUAGAGUGCAGAAGGGGCAAUCGGAAUCCUUGGUGUAGCGGUGAAAUGCGUAGAUAUCAAGAGGAACACCUGAGGUGAAGACGGGUUGCUGGGCUGACACUGACGCUGAGGCGCGAAAGCCAGGGGAGCAAACGGGAUUAGAUACCCCCGUAGUCCCUGAGCGGGCUGGCAAGGCGCAU
This 447-nucleotide ribosomal RNA is filed under the name uncultured bacterium. RNAcentral describes it as "bacterial SSU rRNA". It matches the Rfam family "Bacterial small subunit ribosomal RNA", at positions 355 to 825 of the family's 1533-position model. The record is from RNAcentral.